Long non-coding RNA from Betta splendens (Siamese fighting fish), 1073 nucleotides. The record is from Ensembl. NCBI's taxonomy places the organism in Eukaryota, Metazoa, Chordata, Actinopteri, Anabantiformes, Osphronemidae.
GUGAGAACUCAGCUUUAUGAUGUAUGGGAAGACGAGCCGACGCCGGCCGGCCAGGCGCAUGGGUAGGACGGCGUGUGUGAGCUGUGCUGCUGUGAUUGUGGCAGAUGAUGAUGCAUCCACGUCGCUUAUUCUACCCGUGGCUCCCUAGCUCACGUCUUCCUUCUCUCUGGAGGAGGCAGAACCUCAGAGAGGAGGAGAGAGGGAGGAAGAGACCAGCCUACAAAAAAGAAGGCGUGUACCUGCAAAAGGGGGAGGUGCACUUGUGCCUGUCAGCAAGGGGCGGGCAGUGGGCACUGCCAAAACCUUAGCCAAUCAGAUUCUAGUACAAAUCCACCAAUCAGAGACAGAGGAAAUGCCAGGAGAGACAGACAGGAAGCUGAGCAAAUGAGCCUUGAUGAGAGAGAGGGGGUGGAGGAUGGGAAGGAGGGGAGGAAAUGGGGCCCUGGGAGAGGAUUGUGUGUGUGUGUGUGUGUGUGUGUGUGUGCGUGUGUAAAAAUGUAAAAAUGUAACAUAGCACAUGCUUUGUCUCGUGUGUUUGUUAUAAGAUAUGUUCCCAUAUAUAAAUGUAGACACGCCAGUCAUGCGUGUACUGUAAAAUAACAGUUGGAUGAUGGAGAAGAUGAGCAACAGAGCAUUAAAAAAAGAAACAAUAAUACUGUGAAAUAGGAGGGUGAGACAGAGAAGACGUGUUAGUAGUAAAGAAAAACAGAAAGUUGUAAAAAUGUGAACGGACGGGGAGCAAGAUUUAGACAUUCCUGCUGUUUGGGGAGGAAAAGAAAAACAAGUUGGUGUCAUUUUGUUGUUUUCCUUUCUCCUCCUUGAUUUGAAUGUUUACACGACCAUUUAUCUGUUGAGUGAGUUUCAUGAUCUUUGGGCCCUGGAAACCUCUUAAAAACCCAAGUGCAUAAAUUACAAAGACACAGAAGUCAGUACGUGAGUACAUUUUUUUUUCCAGUUCAGCCUUUUCACUAUCAAAUUUCUCCUGUAGCGUUUGUAAGUAACAUUUGUGUGGAUAAGUUAUAGGAGGAUGAUGUGAUGAAGGGAAUAAAAGAGAAAAAAAUGCUGAGAAAACA